GAUGAACGCUGGCGGCGUGCCUAAUACAUGCAAGUCGAACGGUAAGGCCUCUUCGGAGGUACACGAGUGGCGGACGGCUGAGUAACGCGUAGGAAUGUACCCCAAAGUGAGGAAUAACCUCGAGAAAUCGAGGCUAAUACCGCAUGUGCUCUAAGGAGUAAAGCUUUAUGCGCUUUGGGAACAGCCUGCGUAAGAUUAGCUUGUUGGUGAGGUAAUGGCUCACCAAGGCGACGAUCUUUAGCUGGUCUGAGAGGAUGAUCAGCCAGACUGGGACUGAGACACGGCCCAGACUCCUACGGGGGGGAGCAGUGGGGAAUAUUGGACAAUGGGCGCAAGCCUGAUCCAGCCAUACCGCGGGAGUGAUGAAGGCCCUAGGGUUGUAAAGCUCUUUCGCCAGGGACGAUAAUGACGGUACCUGGAUAAGAAGCCCCGGCUAACUUCGUGCCAGCAGCCGCCGUAA
This 460-nucleotide ribosomal RNA is filed under the name uncultured bacterium. RNAcentral's name for it is "partial 16S ribosomal RNA". It matches the Rfam family "Bacterial small subunit ribosomal RNA", at positions 28 to 523 of the family's 1533-position model. The record is from RNAcentral.